AAAGCUGAGCUGAGAGCUGAGGAUUGGGGAAGUGGGGAAGGACUGUUCUACUAUGACCGACCUUGAUUGAAUAGCUACAGAAUUCAUUGGAGAACCCAGCAGCUUUUCACUGAGCAAGGAACUGAUCACACUAAAGUGUAAGAAGUGGAUUUAUUUAGAGAGACACACAAUCCAGAGAGUGGAGUGCCUCAGAAGAUAGAGAUCUUCCAGGUCCCCAAGUACCUCAGCACCACAGGUGAAACUUUAUCCUUGGUCAGCUUGAGGUAUUGCAUUGCAAACCAAUCAAUCCUGCCUGAUCUUUCAAAGUCUGCAAAAGCCUAAGUGACCUGUUACACGGCCUGCCCAAAGGACAUGGGCUUUGUCAUCUACAACACAGAAGAAGAGAUCCAAUCUUAAGUUGAGACAAAAGUGGGGUCUACAGUGUUUUCUUUGUCAGGGAGUUUUCUGUGUCAAAUCAGUACUGCAGAUGUAACCUUGCAAUUUCUGGGCCUUAAGAGAAUGGCAGUUUCC
Non-coding RNA from Kogia breviceps (pygmy sperm whale), 510 nucleotides. The record is from RefSeq and is a predicted model, not a curated record. Lineage: Eukaryota; Metazoa; Chordata; Mammalia; Artiodactyla; Physeteridae.